This 89-nucleotide microRNA precursor is filed under the name Pan troglodytes (chimpanzee). Its description in RNAcentral is "microRNA ptr-mir-670 precursor". Its record names the gene ptr-mir-670. It matches the Rfam family "mir-670 microRNA precursor family". Lineage: Eukaryota; Metazoa; Chordata; Mammalia; Primates; Hominidae. The record is from miRBase by way of RNAcentral.
GGUGGACCUGAUGUCCCUGAGUGUAUGUGGUGAACCUGAAUUUACCUUGGGUUUCCUCAUAUUCAUUCAGGAGUGUCAGUUGCCCCUUC